Molecule: ribosomal RNA, 499 nt
Filed under: uncultured beta proteobacterium
Lineage: Bacteria; Pseudomonadati; Pseudomonadota; Betaproteobacteria
Description: bacterial SSU rRNA
Rfam family: Bacterial small subunit ribosomal RNA
Source: RNAcentral
GGCGACGAUCAGUAGCUGGUCUGAGAGGACGACCAGCCACACUGGGACUGAGACACGGCCCAGACUCCUACGGGAGGCAGCAGUGGGGAAUUUUGGACAAUGGGCGAAAGCCUGAUCCAGCAAUGCCGCGUGUGUGAAGAAGGCCUUCGGGUUGUAAAGCACUUUUGUCCGGAAAGAAAUCCUUGGUUCUAAUAUAGCCGGGGGAUGACGGUACCGGAAGAAUAAGCACCGGCUAACUACGUGCCAGCAGCCGCGGUAAUACGUAGGGUGCGAGCGUUAAUCGGAAUUACUGGGCGUAAAGCGUGCGCAGGCGGUUUGCUAAGACCGAUGUGAAAUCCCCGGGCUCAACCUGGGAACUGCAUUGGUGACUGGCAGGCUAGAGUAUGGCAGAGGGGGGUAGAAUUCCACGUGUAGCAGUGAAAUGCGUAGAGAUGUGGAGGAAUACCGAUGGCGAAGGCAGCCCCCUGGGCCAAUACUGACGCUCAUGCACGAAAGCGUG